UGGGGUCUAGUUCAAAUGGUAGAGCGCUUGCUUGGCAUGCAAGAGAUAGGGGGAUCAAUGCCUGCGUCCUCCA
Molecule: transfer RNA, 73 nt
Filed under: Lepisosteus oculatus (spotted gar)
Lineage: Eukaryota; Metazoa; Chordata; Actinopteri; Semionotiformes; Lepisosteidae
Rfam family: tRNA
About the family: Transfer RNA (tRNA) molecules are approximately 80 nucleotides in length. Their secondary structure includes four short double-helical elements and three loops (D, anti-codon, and T loops). Further hydrogen bonds mediate the characteristic L-shaped molecular structure. tRNAs have two regions of fundamental functional importance: the anti-codon, which is responsible for specific mRNA codon recognition, and the 3' end, to which the tRNAs corresponding amino acid is attached (by aminoacyl-tRNA synthetases). tRNAs cope with the degeneracy of the genetic code in two manners: having more than one tRNA (with a specific anti-codon) for a particular amino acid; and 'wobble' base-pairing, i.e. permitting non-standard base-pairing at the 3rd anti-codon position.
Source: Rfam by way of RNAcentral